CGACUUUCUUCUGUGCUGAUGACAGAUCUGUUGCUCUGUUAUCAGGCACUGCUCUUUUGCCAUUUCAGUUUCAUAACCACUGCCUCUGCCUAGGAGCCAGUGAACAGCCAUGUUGGGCAAACCAAGCCUCCGAAGAGGAGGAGGAGGAGGAUGGAUGACACUGAGUGGUUCCCUUUGACAUGGCUGGGGCUCUGAAGAGUAUCUGCUGAGGUCUCAGCAUGCCCGGUGACCUCCAGGGCUCCUUUCCAGCACAGCCUUGGGUGUGCACUGUAGCGAAUGAAACCAUCCAUGGGAGAGAGCUCCAAGGAGCCAUCUGGGAAGGUUCUUCAGCGGGGCCUGUGGAUGUGUUUGACUCAGUGGAGAAGAUCUCAUCCUGGGACCUGCUGGCCCUCUAUCCAAGGAACGCCGGUGGCAGAUGGAGCAAUGGGAGCAUGUGUGCACACAGGGGAGAAGCGGACUUCCAGCCCUUCUGCUGCAAAACUGCUGUACCUGAAACAGUAACUUUGCAGGGCCUGACACAAUAGUGAUGCUUUUUUUGGUUCUGCUCAGCAGAGGGCACUGAAUCCUGUAAAUAGGAGUUGGUAUGGUGCAGCACAAAGGGCCUGAUAGCUUUAGCAGAUGGGCUAAUCUUUUUUCCUCUGGAUACUGGUGGUAUGGAACUGAAGUUUGUGGCUCUGUCUGCUGCACGCCGAUUGACUGAGAGACGACCAUGGCAUGUGUUCGCAGGUGAUAAACUCAUGUCUCUUUUUAUAUAUGUUUUAUUUUAAUUAAAGUGGUAGCUAUAAAAACCAGUCAUCUGGAAAUCAGGUUGGCUAAAGUAUUAGCCAUCUGGCAUCCUUCUGAACAGCGGCACCAGCCAACUGGCACAGGUAGGGGAGAUGCAAACACCUACAAACCAGAACCUGAACAGCACAGGCUGGCAUGGAAACGGGAUGAGUUGUACAGGCUUGUUCCUACAGUCCACAAGAGAACUGUAGGAUUGGUCUGUGAGGAGUUGGCUGAAUUAGAAAGUUUAGCCUUCUUCAUAGCCCUUGAUCCAAAGUCUCCACAAUUUCACCACAAGCAUUACCUCCCUCCCCCCAAAAUGGAUUUGCCUUGUUUUCAGCAAUACCGACAAACACUGCACUGUCAAUCUGCUCCCCUCUCCCUCUUCUGCCGCUGGGCUCUUUCUUGCUGAGUGCUAGUGUUUGCGUUUUCCCCACUGAGGGUUCAGAUGAAUUGUAAGCCAAAGGGACUAACAAAAGAAUAUUAGAAAUGUAGCUUUUUCAGAUGACUUUUUUAGUUUAGAUGGAUCUUGCUCACGUA
RNAcentral lists this long non-coding RNA (1305 nucleotides) under Struthio camelus australis. RNAcentral describes it as "lncRNA (ENSSCUG00000004037.1)". Lineage: Eukaryota; Metazoa; Chordata; Aves; Struthioniformes; Struthionidae. The record is from RNAcentral.